Non-coding RNA from Chiloscyllium plagiosum (whitespotted bambooshark), 317 nucleotides. The record is from RefSeq and is a predicted model, not a curated record. NCBI's taxonomy places the organism in Eukaryota, Metazoa, Chordata, Chondrichthyes, Orectolobiformes, Hemiscylliidae.
AGAAUGCCCUGUUGGAUCUUGCUUCAGUCAUUGACACCCUGUCGUUACGGGCUGUUAUCAGCGAUGUCCUCUCGACCGUCAUCCCCAACGUGGAGAACAUCUUCAUCUACCUGCUGGACGUGAGCUCAAACAAGAUGUUGUGUGACAACCCCCCACACGAGAUGUCCAAGGAAGGGAGACUAAGAGAAGCAGUGAUCACAAAGUCGAGAAUUGAAUGCAACGGGCUCCACAAGACUGACAUCCAGGUCACCAAGAUGAACCACAUGGUGGCUCCGCUGCCGAACGACAAACAAGGUGGGUGGAGCUACUUCAUCUGA